UACUAGCGGUCCAAGUCGCAACCAUUUUUAUUGGGUCUAAAACAUCCGUAGCUUGCUUAAUAAGUUCCUUGUGAAAUCCUACCUCUUAAGGGUAGGGCGUGCAAGGAGUACUGUUGAGCUAGAGACUGGAAGACGUGAGAAGUACAUUCAAAGUAGUGGUAAAAUACGUUAAUCUUGGGUGGACUAACAAUAGCGAAGGCAUCUCACGAGAACAGUUCUGACAGUCAGGGAUGAAAGCUAGGGGCGCAAAACG
RNAcentral lists this ribosomal RNA (253 nucleotides) under uncultured archaeon. RNAcentral's name for it is "partial 16S ribosomal RNA". It matches the Rfam family "Archaeal small subunit ribosomal RNA", at positions 474 to 726 of the family's 1478-position model. The record is from RNAcentral.